RNAcentral lists this long non-coding RNA (1558 nucleotides) under Panicum hallii. RNAcentral describes it as "long non-coding RNA (PHAL_LNC000611)". Lineage: Eukaryota; Viridiplantae; Streptophyta; Magnoliopsida; Poales; Poaceae. The record is from RNAcentral.
AAUGGCGGCCUCCAUGAUCUCGUCGUCAGCUCUGGUGGCGCCGGCCAGGGCCCAGGGCCUGCCGUCCCUCGGCCGCCGCGCCUCCUCCUUCGCCGUCGUCUGCGGCACCGGCAAGAAGAUCAAGACCGACAAGCCCUUCGGGAUUGGGGGUGGCCUGACCGUCGACAAAGAUGCCUCCGGGAGGAAGGUCAAGGUGAGACCUAUUACUGCUUCUUUCUUUCUUUCUUUCUUUCUUUCUUUCUGACUCGAAUUAAUCCCAGUUUGGAACACAGGAAUUUCUGAGAGAUUUUCGACGAUAUAGAUUCAGUACAUCUAUGACCAUUGAUAAAGCUAGCUGAACUUUUUGCUUUUCUGAUGGAUGCAGGGCAAGGGCGUGUACCAGUUCGUCGACAAGUACGGCGCCAACGUCGACGGAUACAGGUGAGCAUGCAUCAUCAUGUAGACGAUAGCAGGCAUGAAGAUCCAUGUGUUGUUUGGGAGAGGAUCAUAGAGCUGUUCACGUGCGUGAAUAUCAGUAUGUAGUUGAUUGGACGCUUAUUAUGUUUGUUUGCCAAACAAUUUGCAGCCCAAUCUACAAGGAGGAGGACUGGUCUCCCACCGGUGACGUCUACGUCGGCGGUAAGUAGCUAGUAAUUUCACUCAUUCACUUGUCCGUAAUAUAUAUAUUGCUAUGGUUACAAGGAAAUUAAGCACCAGAUCUAUGUGCUUGGUUGAAUAAUUUCAGUUAGUAUGCACAGCUUAAAAGCGAUGAAAAUUUCAUUCAUUAUAUUUAAUUUAUUGUGGUCCAUAAUGUCUGUAUUAAUUUCCUUAUCAUACACACCGUUUAAAAUUUACAUUUACACCAGUAUUGUGACUCCAUAACGGUGUCUAGGUCCUGUUUUUUUUUAAAAAAAGUUUCCACCCUGGCCCGGAUUACAUAAUCCAGCUUUAUAUAAUAAGCUAAGCUGGAUUAUGUGAUCUUUUGGGAUAGGAAACAAACAUGACCUCAAAGAACAUGUUGUGUUAGCAAAUAAUGCGAAAACAAGAUCGAACACGAGACACGAUUUUUACGUGGAAAAUCCUUGCGCGAAAAAACUGCGGACGCCAACCGGCGAUCUUCACUGUAAUGAGAGAUAAUGAGAGAGUUACAACGCAGAGAAUACAUUGAGUCGUCAACUCUUCCCAUGCGGCUUGCAAGAUGUAUAUAUAGGGCGGACUGAACUGACUGCAGUCAACGAAAAUAAAUCCGCUAAUCACGUAACCCGAACCGUGGGCUCUCCCGGCGUCCCCACAAGACACGGUUAUAAUUUGGAUCAUAUCCAACAUGUUGUAGUAAUGCUCGCAUGGAGACUAAGAUCCUACAUGGAGUCCUUCUGAAAUAAAGGUUUGUGGUAAUUGAUAUCCUUAUUCUUUAUGUUACAGGAACCACCGGACUUCUGAUCUGGGCCGUCACCCUCGCCGGGCUCCUUGGUGGCGGCGCCCUCCUUGUUUACAACACCAGCGCCCUCGCCAGCUAAGAACAUUAUUCAUGCAAGCGCUUGCGGUUCGUGUAAGAUCAGCCCGGGUGUCUGUCUGUAAU